UCCCGGUUGAUCCCGCGGGACCCGACUGCUAUCAGAGUGGGACUAAGCCAUGCGAGUCAACGCCGCAAGGCGUGGCAUACGGCUCAGUAACACGUAGUCAACAUGCCCAGGGGACGUGGAUAACCUCGGGAAACUGAGGAUAAACCGCGAUAGGUCAUCACUUCUGGAAUGGGUAAUGACUUAAAUCUAUAUGGCCCCUGGAUUGGACUGCGGCCGAUCAGGCUGUUGGUGAGGUAAUGGCCCACCAAACCUGUAACCGGUACGGGCUCUGAGAGGAGGAGCCCGGAGAUGGGCACUGAGACAAGGGCCCAGGCCCUAUGGGGCGCAGCAGGCGCGAAACCUCUGCAAUAGGCGAAAGCUUGACAGGGUUACUCUGAGUGAUUUCCGUUAAGGAGAUCUUUUGGCACCUCUAAAAAUGGUGCAGAAUAAGGGGUGGGCAAGUCUGGUGUCAGCCGCCGCGGUAAUACCAGCACCCCGAGUGGUCGGGACGUUUAUUGGGCCUAAAGCAUCCGUAGCCGGUUCUACAAGUCUUCCGUUAAAUCCACCUGCUUAACAGAUGGGCUGCGGAAGAUACUAUAGAGCUAGGAGGCGGGAGAGGCAAGCGGUACUCGAUGGGUAGGGGUAAAAUCCGUUGAUCCAUUGAAGACCACCAGUGGCGAAGGCGGCUUGCCAGAACGCGCUCGACGGUGAGGGAUGAAAGCUGGGGGAGCAAACCGGAUUAGAUACCCGGGUAGUCCCAGCUGUAAACGAUGCAGACUCGGUGAUGAGUUGGCUUAUUGCUAACUCAGUGCCGCAGGGAAGCCGUUAAGUUUGCCGCCUGGGGAGUACGGUCGCAAGACUGAAACUUAAAGGAAAUGGCGGGGGAGCCC
This 869-nucleotide ribosomal RNA is filed under the name uncultured archaeon. RNAcentral describes it as "bacterial SSU rRNA". It matches the Rfam family "Archaeal small subunit ribosomal RNA", at positions 1 to 879 of the family's 1478-position model. The record is from RNAcentral.